CAAGUUUAUUGCUGCUGUGAUCUUCUGUGCAACCCUAUUUUAAGCUGUGGAUGACAGAAUGAACUCAUAAGGUAGUACUGCAAGGGAGAAAAAGAGAUUUAACACUGUGGUCAACAUUAAGCUGGAAUUGGUGUUGUGACAUGCUUGGAGUUGGAAAAAAUACGAAAACAUGGAAGAUAUACUUAAUUUCUCAGACACAUAUCAGAGCCUCUAAAUGCUAAUGUCUGCGACUAAAACUGUGUCUUCAUAAACCUAAAUGAUGAUUUCCUCCGGAGGGGUCAAGAGACAGAAGAGACUUCUGAUGACAGGAAUGACCAUAGUGAGGAACUGAUGUUGUGGCAAAGACACCCAGAGAAUGCUAUGAUCUCUUCCUUUGCUUUGACUCUCCACUCAGAAUGCAUUAUCCUUCUGUUAGAAUGGUGCCCAGACAAUGAAUCUAAAAAGAUAAAAACACCUGUUUUCCACACAAACCAAUGAGCCUGAAAUUGGUAAAGAUAAAAG
This is a long non-coding RNA of Mesocricetus auratus (golden hamster), 501 nucleotides long. RefSeq lists it as uncharacterized. The transcript is spliced from 3 exons. The record is from RefSeq and is a predicted model, not a curated record. Lineage: Eukaryota; Metazoa; Chordata; Mammalia; Rodentia; Cricetidae.